Molecule: ribosomal RNA, 500 nt
Filed under: uncultured Glomeromycotina
Lineage: Eukaryota; Fungi; Glomeromycota
Description: partial small subunit ribosomal RNA
Rfam family: Eukaryotic small subunit ribosomal RNA
Source: RNAcentral
CCAAUAGCGUAUAUUAAAGUUGUUGCAGUUAAAAAGCUCGUAGUUGAAUUUCGGGAUCAGCAGGUCGGUCGUGCCUACGGUAUGCACUGGCCUUGCUGAUUCCUCCCUCUUGAUGAGCCGUAAUGCCAUUAAUUUGGUGUUGCGGGGAAUCAGGACUGUUACUUUGAAAAAAUUAGAGUGUUUAAAGCAGGCAAGCGCUUGAAUACAUUAGCAUGGAAUAAUGAAAUAGGACGUUCGAUCCUAUUUUGUUGGUUUCUAGGAUUGACGUAAUGAUUAAUAGGGAUAGUUGGGGGCAUUAGUAUUCAAUUGUCAGAGGUGAAAUUCUUGGAUUUAUUGAAGACUGACUACUGCGAAAGCAUUUGCCAAGGAUGUUUUCAUUAAUCAAGAACGAAAGUUAGGGGAUCGAAGACGAUCAGAUACCGUCGUAGUCUUAACCAUAAACUAUGCCGACUAGGGAUCGGAUGAUGUUAAUUUUUUAAUGACUCAUUCGGCGCCUUACG